AAGAAACUAAAAAUUCUAAGAUUCAAGGAGUUAAUUAACUGUGAUAGAGAAAAGUAACUAGUUUAGAUUUUUGUGGGAAAGGCAAAGAAGCAGAUCUAGGCUUUAUUUUAGAGUAAAUGCCCUAACAAAGACUCCUGGAAUAAAGAAUAGCUUGCCGCAGAAUUUCUUUUAUGAAAUUAAGCAAAUUAUAGCCUUUAAUAAUACUAAUAGUUGACAUUUAUUUAAAUUAAAAAAAACAUGCUUUAUGUUCCACUCAACUUUGUCUUUCAGAAGCUAGAUGACACAGGAGAUAGAGUGUUGGACUUGGAGUCAAGAAGACCUGAGUUCAAAUGUAACCUCAGUCAUUUACCAGUUAUAUGAUCCUCAAAUUGCUCUAAAAGAGCAGAAGGUUUAUUCAAGAACAGCAAUGGCAACAAAGUUCUGAACAAUCACUUGUCACGGAGUGGAACUGGGCCAGUGGCAAAAUGCUAAAAGGUCUCUGUAGAUUACAAUGAAUGAGUCCAGUUUGACUUGCAUAGUAUGGGUUCCAGAAAUCAAUGCUGAGCUUCUGAAAGUGUCAUUUUUCCCCCUGAAAAACAAGAAAUCCAAAAAGUGAAGAUGAGAAUUAAAAGUGGUUUUGCUAGAUUCUAAACUGGUCUUUCACAAUACGUCAGCCGCCAGUCUAAUAUUCCCUUGUCAAAUGUAUUCAUUUAAUUUCACCUCACUGUAGGCAUUUACUGACUUGGGGUGAAAUGCAGAGCUUGUUGUGUGAUACUCUCAUUUGGCCUUGUUUCACUGAUUAAAUUGAAUAUUUAUUCUUGAUUCAUCCUCCUUAUUCUCACUUUAUUCUUAGGGUCCAUGAGAAAUAUUGUUUUGUGUCUCUGAGGGGUGCUAAGAUCCCUUCCCUAUUGACCACUGAUCAUGCCUGAGGAAACACCAUUGUUGAGCCUUUCCAUUGUGCCAAGCAUUGGUCUCACAACAUAACCCUGUACAUAGAAGAAAAAUAUAACGACUCCAAAUCACAAAGGACUUACUGUGAAUUAGAGGCAGCUCUUGUGUGGAAAUUCUCCUGGGAUGCCAGGAAAAAAAACCUGGGCUACACAAGGACACUUCCCCAGAGAACCUUUUCUCUUUUCUGUUGCCUCCAGUUUUCCUUAAAUUCCAAUGGGAUUUAAAUUUUUAUCCUGGCUCUCUGGGAUGUGAGACUCAGUGAUAUUCUUAAUUCAAAUGAAACAUUGUAGGGGUUAAAAGACUUUAGUAGGGAAUUAAAGAAAGUAAAAGGAAAUAGGAAACAGAAAAACAAUCAGAUAAAGAAAUUUUGGAUUUCAUGAAUAAAGCAGUGGAACACUUGUACA
RNAcentral lists this long non-coding RNA (1334 nucleotides) under Monodelphis domestica (gray short-tailed opossum). Its description in RNAcentral is "lncRNA (ENSMODG00000042356.1)". Lineage: Eukaryota; Metazoa; Chordata; Mammalia; Didelphimorphia; Didelphidae. The record is from RNAcentral.